GGCGACCAUAGCAAGAGUGAACCACCUGAUCCCUUCCCGAACUCAGAAGUGAAACCUCUUAGCGCUGAUGGUAGUGUGGGGUUUCCCAUGUGAGAGUAAGUCAUCGCCAGCUCA
RNAcentral lists this ribosomal RNA (114 nucleotides) under Acinetobacter schindleri. The record is from RNAcentral. Lineage: Bacteria; Pseudomonadati; Pseudomonadota; Gammaproteobacteria; Moraxellales; Moraxellaceae.